UAUAAUCCACUUUGCAAAAGUCACAGACAGACAGAACUGGCGUAUUAUUAUAUAGAUGAAACACUCAAAUCGUUAUUUUUGUCGAUUUUUUUGAUUUUUAUAUGAAGCCAUUUCUCCUCUCUGGAACUGUUUUCUCUUUAAAUAUGACUUGCUGAUAUUUUAUCACACUGUGAAGGUAACAAAAGUACAAUAGAGAAGCACGCAAGCAACUAUUUAAUAUAAAAAAUUUGGAACUACACCCUUAAGAACAAAAACAAACCACCGUUUUAGUACUCAAGGGGAGUAGAUUUGGAUAAUGGGAUUUUAUGCAACAAGCUUUUCCUCUUAAGCUUAAGAGUCAGCAACAGGAAGAAGGUGUUCGAUCAGUUUUUACGUCUUUCCAGUUUAUUUUAUGGCAAAAAUAACACUAUUAUCUGGCUUUAAGAAAAUAUACGCAGUUUUCGAUAUUUAGACGGCUUUCUCAAUAUAUAAACAAGAUGCAACGGCUGCCAAUAAUAUAUUUUAUAUAUAUCCUACCAUGAAGGAUGUGAUGCAUGGCUAUGAUAUGACUUUUUAUAUUUAUCUAUUAGACACUUGCAUGUGAAAUUUUUAGGUCCCAUACCUCAGAGACCGUUUGGCUAUUUGGCUCGAAACUACCACUUAAAAAUUCUUAUAAAAUCCUUAUUUCCGUGUUUUUCAAUUGGUUUAAUUUUCUUCUGUAACAUUAGCAUAAUCUUUGUAUUAAAUAACUUGCUUGAAAUUUUAACUGUUCUGAUUAUGUUGAAAAAAACUAAUUUACAUUGCUGUUUUUUAAUUUUUGAAAAGCAGUGAGGGAGAUUUCGGUACAAUACAAUAGCAAGGGGCCUGAAAGGUUUUUUCUUUCCUCUACUAUAACAUUCUUGUUUAAGGCAUGUAAUAUAUGAUCUUUCCUAUUAUUUUUUAUUAUCUAGUCCAGUUAAAAUGAGUGCAAUUGAUUAUUCAAAAUGGAAUAACAUUUAUGACAGUAGUGAUGAAGACGAGGAUGAAGUAAGUUCAGAUUCACAUUUGACAUGUGACACUAGGUGUACAAAGCAUGAACAUAUUGAAUUUAUUUAUCCCUUUUGUCAACUGCUUUGACGAAAAUCCAAUAUUCCAAUGGGGGUUGCCAACUAGACAUGAAGGCCUUAUGACUUCAAUUUACAGGAAGAUUAAUACCUAAAAUUUGUAUUGUAAUGGUUCAGAGGAAUUUGUUGACACUCCUGAAGUACAGUUUGUAAAACAGCUAAUCAAGCAAAGAGAAAAGCAUUUUGCCAAACGGAAGCUAGAUCCUGCUAUAAAUCAAAACCUGAAGCGGGAUUACAUAAUAAACAUAAAAUUGAUUGAAACUUUUCCAUCUGUUUGGAGACGUUUUAAAGUAUCGGGUGGUGUCACCCUGAGUGUGUUUCAAGAUAAAAUAAUUUCCCCAGUUAUGGGUUGGACGCGUAACUACCAUGCACAUUAUUUUACAUAUUUGAAAGAUGGAUCAUUGUUUGGAAGCACAAUAUCUGAUGCCAUAGACAUGUGCUGGUUAUAUAAUAAUGGUUAUCAUUGGAUCGAUGAUAAAAAGUGGAAUUUGGGAUAAAAUAAUAAAACCAGGAGAGCGAUUUGCGUACACUUACGAUCUUGGUGACCGUUGGGAGCAUGAAAUUGAAGUGGAAAAAAUAUUGCCAUAAUUAUUUUGUGUCGCUUACUUACUUCGUUUAGCCCUGUGAAAUUAAUAAUGUGUUGAAUUGUAAAUGAUUGUUUACACAGUAUUGCAAUGUUAAAGGAGCUGACAGAUGACUUUUAGAAAGAGUUGAACUUGAGUUGAAGUUGAACAAUGUUGUUGAAGUAUUUGUACAGAAAUUUAAUUUUAUUGAAGUCUGUUGCCAGUCAACUAAAACUAGCAAUUUAACCUGCAUGUGCUAAUAAUUUUACGAAUGGCAAAAUAUUCAGUUACAAUUAGUUGUUAUUAUACAUCAGUGUGAAAGAGUCUGAUGGAAAGUGUGUUGUAUUAGUUGGUUGCAUGAAUUGUCCACCUGAAGAUUCCAACGGGUGUGAUGGCAAAGGCAAUGAUGCAUUUUACUGACUAGUGAGCAGAUUACCCAAUAAACGAAAUUGGAAAGGACCGCAUGGCAAAAAUAUUUCUAGGAAAUUAAAGAAAAAGUUACGAGAAGCUGGUACUGCUUUGAAUGUUAAAG
Molecule: long non-coding RNA, 2177 nt
Organism: Hydractinia symbiolongicarpus
Lineage: Eukaryota; Metazoa; Cnidaria; Hydrozoa; Anthoathecata; Hydractiniidae
Exons: 4
Source: RefSeq, a predicted model, not a curated record